AUUGAACGCUGGCGGCAUGCUUUACACAUGCAAGUCGAACGGUAACAGGCCGCACGUUGCUGUCGGGUGGUGGACGGGGGCGUAAUGCUAAGGAACGUGCCCAGUCGCUGUGGGUAUCUACUCGAAAGAGUAGAUAGUACCGCAUACGAGCUAUGGUAUAGAGCGGGGGACCGUAAGACUGCACGAGAUUUGAGCGGCCGAUGUCAGAUUAGGUAGUUGGUGGGGUAAAGGUUUACCAAGCAAACGAUUAGUAGCGGGUCUGAGAGGACGACCCGCCACACUGGGACUGAGACACGGCCCAGACUCCUACGGGAGGCAGCAGUGGGGAAUUUUGGACAAUGGGCGCAAGCCUGACCCAGCAAUGCCGCGUGAAGGAAGAAGGUCUUCGGGUUGUAAACUGCUUUUGUAAGGAACGAAACGGCUCUGAUUAAUACACGGAGCUAAUGACGGUACCGUAAGAGAAAGCACCGGCUAACUACGUG
This 482-nucleotide ribosomal RNA is filed under the name uncultured bacterium. RNAcentral describes it as "partial 16S ribosomal RNA". It matches the Rfam family "Bacterial small subunit ribosomal RNA", at positions 30 to 507 of the family's 1533-position model. The record is from RNAcentral.